This 265-nucleotide long non-coding RNA is filed under the name Lathyrus oleraceus (garden pea). RNAcentral describes it as "Pisum sativum (pea) long non-coding RNA (PSAT_LNC016446)". The record is from RNAcentral. Lineage: Eukaryota; Viridiplantae; Streptophyta; Magnoliopsida; Fabales; Fabaceae.
UUGAUUUUUAAAGGAUAUUUAUAUUGGUUGUGGUUUCCUUGGUGUCGGGAUCUAUCUUGUUAUUCUUAUGGUGGAUUGGUUUUUUCUUGCUAUCUCCGCUUGGUAUUUUUGUAGUUGGCGGGUGUCUUCAUCUUUUUUUUGGCUUUCGCCAUAGUGUUUUUUUUCCUAAUUGUUCUUUUGUUUUCCAUUUAUAUUUAUUUCUUAUGGUUAAUUGGCUACACAUUAUACCUACCUUGACCUUUUGUAUUUUAACCUUGGAUCUAUU